RNAcentral lists this ribosomal RNA (485 nucleotides) under uncultured marine bacterium. RNAcentral's name for it is "bacterial SSU rRNA". It matches the Rfam family "Bacterial small subunit ribosomal RNA", at positions 355 to 858 of the family's 1533-position model. The record is from RNAcentral.
UGGGGAAUCUUAGACAAUGGGCGCAAGCCUGAUCUAGCCAUGCCGCGUGAGUGAUGAAGGCCCUAGGGUCGUAAAGCUCUUUCGCCAGGGAUGAUAAUGACAGUACCUGGUAAAGAAACCCCGGCUAACUCCGUGCCAGCAGCCGCGGUAAUACGGAGGGGGUUAGCGUUGUUCGGAAUUACUGGGCGUAAAGCGCGCGUAGGCGGACCAGAAAGUUGGGGGUGAAAUCCCGGGGCUCAACCCCGGAACGGCCUCCAAAACUCCUGGUCUUGAGUUCGAGAGAGGUGAGUGGAAUUCCGAGUGUAGAGGUGAAAUUCGUAGAUAUUCGGAGGAACACCAGUGGCGAAGGCGGCUCACUGGCUCGAUACUGACGCUGAGGUGCGAAAGUGUGGGGAGCAAACAGGAUUAGAUACCCUGGUAGUCCACACCGUAAACGAUGAAUGCCAGUCGUCGGGUAGCAUGCUGCUCGGUGACACACCUAACGG